This 253-nucleotide ribosomal RNA is filed under the name uncultured bacterium. RNAcentral describes it as "partial 16S ribosomal RNA". It matches the Rfam family "Bacterial small subunit ribosomal RNA", at positions 524 to 776 of the family's 1533-position model. The record is from RNAcentral.
UACGUAGGGCGCAAGCGUUAUCCGGAAUUAUUGGGCGUAAAGAGCUCGUAGGCGGUCUGUCGCGUCGGCUGUGAAAACCCGGAGCUCAACUCCGGGCCUGCAGUCGAUACGGGCAAACUGGAGUGUUGCAGGGGAGACUGGAAUUCCUGGUGUAGCGGUGAAAUGCGCAGAUAUCAGGAGGAACACCGGUGGCGAAGGCGGCUCACUGGCUCAUUACUGACGCUCAGGCGCGAUAGCGUGGGGAUCAAACAGG